AUACGGAGGGUGCAAGCGUUGUUCGGAAUUACUGGGCGUAAAGCGCGUGCAGGCGGUAAGGUAAGUCAGAUGUGGAAGCCCCGGGCUCAACCCGGGAAGUGCAUUUGAUACUGCCUUUCUUGAGUAUGGGAGAGGAGAGUGGAAUUCCCAGUGUAGAGGUGAAAUUCGUAGAUAUUGGGAGGAACACCCGUGGCGAAGGCGACUCUCUGGACCAAUACUGACGCUGAGACGCGAAAGCGUGGGGAGCGAACAGGAUUAGAAACCCCAGUAGUCC
This 274-nucleotide ribosomal RNA is filed under the name uncultured bacterium. Its description in RNAcentral is "partial 16S ribosomal RNA". It matches the Rfam family "Bacterial small subunit ribosomal RNA", at positions 523 to 796 of the family's 1533-position model. The record is from RNAcentral.